GAUGAACGCUGGCGGCGUGCCUAAUACAUGCAAGUCGAGCGAACAGAUGGGGAGCUUGCUCCUCUGACGUUAGCGGCGGACGGGUGAGUAACACGCGGAUAACCUACCCAUAAGACUGGGAUAACUUCGGGAAACCGGAGCUAAUACCGGAUAAUAUAUUGAACCGCAUGGUUCAAUAGUGAAAGACGGUUUUGCUGUCACUUAUAGAUGGAUCCGCGCCGCAUUAGCUAGUUGGUAAGGUAACGGCUUACCAAGGCAACGAUGCGUAGCCGACCUGAGAGGGUGAUCGGCCACACUGGAACUGAGACACGGUCCAGACUCCUACGGGAGGCAGCAGUAGGGAAUCUUCCGCAAUGGGCGAAAGCCUGACGGAGCAACGCCGCGUGAGUGAUGAAGGUCUUCGGAUCGUAAAACUCUGUUAUUAGGGAAGAACAAAUGUGUAAGUAACUAUGCACGUCUUGACGGUACCUAAUCAGAAAGCCACGGCUAACUACGUG
Molecule: ribosomal RNA, 497 nt
Filed under: uncultured bacterium
Lineage: Bacteria
Description: partial 16S ribosomal RNA
Rfam family: Bacterial small subunit ribosomal RNA
Source: RNAcentral